Molecule: long non-coding RNA, 715 nt
Organism: Magallana angulata
Lineage: Eukaryota; Metazoa; Mollusca; Bivalvia; Ostreida; Ostreidae
Exons: 5
Source: RefSeq, a predicted model, not a curated record
UGCGCAUGCCCAUAAACUGGUUCAUUCGCAUAUCUCUUCUACUUUCAACAUGGCGCCAGCUAUGAAGUUGCAAAGAUUUGUAGUGAUGAUUUUCUUGAUGGUAGUAUUCCAGAUAGUUACAGUGGACGGAAUGAUGGAAGGCAGUGGAGGCUUCUUUUUGCCUAAUACUGGAAUGGGGUCAUUGCAGGAAAUUCUACCAGAGACAGAUAGGCCUGCUGAAGAUUUCCCUAUGAAUAGAUCAACACAGGCUACCAUCAGACUCAGGUGAAAAUAUGGAUCAUCUCAAUCAUCUGAAUAAAAAAUAUUGCAUUGUGAAGAGUUACCCAUAGUUUGUUUGAGAAUAAUGCCAUACUUUGUCCUAUUUAUCAUAUGAAUAAAUUUAUUGUUAUGAUAUGCAUAUCAUUAUACAUAUCAUAUUGGUAAUGUUCUCAGAAUUGUAAGUUCAGAGACAAGAGAAAUAAACCAAUCACAAGCUGUGAUACAUCAUAACCACAUCUAACUUUGAGAGGAUCUGGAUUAUCCCGGCAAGAUUAAAAGAAGAGAUAAUAUAUUUGAUCAGAAUGACAAAGUGUUGAAUAAGUCUAAUGAGUGCUCUUUGGAGGCUGAUGAUGUAAUAUCUGAAAUUUUUAAUCUUUUAUGAUCCAAUGUGUCAGAUAUUCUGAUACAUCAUCAAAUUGUUAUUUCAAAUUCUUCUGCAGAUAGAGAAAAUAACAAU